CUGCGUCGCUAGGGGUCCUGCCCCUGCCGGACAGCGCCAGGGAGCAGUUCCCGCACGCAACGGCAGGCUGGUGGGUGAGAGUUACCCUUCGAACCUGACCCGGAUAAUCCCGGCGUAGGGAAGCGUGAUCUGCCAGAC
This 138-nucleotide non-coding RNA is filed under the name Vogesella sp. LIG4. Its description in RNAcentral is "TPP riboswitch aptamer (THI element)". It matches the Rfam family "TPP riboswitch aptamer (THI element)". Rfam says of the family: Vitamin B(1) in its active form thiamin pyrophosphate (TPP) is an essential coenzyme that is synthesised by coupling of pyrimidine and thiazole moieties in bacteria. The previously detected thiamin-regulatory element, thi box was extended, resulting in a new, highly conserved RNA secondary structure, the THI element, which is widely distributed in eubacteria and also occurs in some archaea. Analysis of operon structures identified a large number of new candidate thiamin-regulated genes, mostly transporters, in various prokaryotic organisms. Lineage: Bacteria; Pseudomonadati; Pseudomonadota; Betaproteobacteria; Neisseriales; Chromobacteriaceae. RNAcentral also lists the same sequence under 1 other name. The record is from Rfam by way of RNAcentral.